Small nuclear RNA from Lepisosteus oculatus (spotted gar), 84 nucleotides. Its record names the gene U4. It matches the Rfam family "U4 spliceosomal RNA". Rfam says of the family: U4 small nuclear RNA (U4 snRNA) is a component of the major U2-dependent spliceosome. The structure of U4 snRNA from yeast and human has been reported. U4 snRNA presents a k-turn RNA motif in the 5p-SL related to recognition of Snu13 protein. NCBI's taxonomy places the organism in Eukaryota, Metazoa, Chordata, Actinopteri, Semionotiformes, Lepisosteidae. The record is from Ensembl.
AACUUUGCACAGUGGCAGUGUCGUAGCCUGUGAGGUUAAGCCGAGGUGUGAUUAUUGCUAGUUGAAGAUUUUUCCCAAUACCCC